This 73-nucleotide transfer RNA is filed under the name Ovis aries (sheep). It matches the Rfam family "tRNA". Rfam says of the family: Transfer RNA (tRNA) molecules are approximately 80 nucleotides in length. Their secondary structure includes four short double-helical elements and three loops (D, anti-codon, and T loops). Further hydrogen bonds mediate the characteristic L-shaped molecular structure. tRNAs have two regions of fundamental functional importance: the anti-codon, which is responsible for specific mRNA codon recognition, and the 3' end, to which the tRNAs corresponding amino acid is attached (by aminoacyl-tRNA synthetases). tRNAs cope with the degeneracy of the genetic code in two manners: having more than one tRNA (with a specific anti-codon) for a particular amino acid; and 'wobble' base-pairing, i.e. permitting non-standard base-pairing at the 3rd anti-codon position. Lineage: Eukaryota; Metazoa; Chordata; Mammalia; Artiodactyla; Bovidae. The record is from Rfam by way of RNAcentral.
UUCCUGGUGGUCCAGUGGCUAAGACUCUGUGCUCCCAAUGCAGGGGGCCUGGGUUCAAUCCCUGGUCAGAGAA